UUCUCAAAGCAAACCUUCCAAUCAUGAACUCCCUUCGCUCAAUCUUUGUGGUCGCCAUUGUUUUGGCUGUGGUCUGCUCUACCUUGGCCAUGCCUGGUGGAUUAGGCUAUGGAUUAGGAGGAUUGGGUGGAGGAUUAGGCCAUGGAUUUGGUGGAGGAUUAGGCCAUGGAUUGAGUGGUGGAUUUGGCAGCGUCACUGUUGUCCGUAAGCCAGUUUAUUCUUAUUACCAAGUCACUCAUCUAAUUGGAUGAACAUAUUCUUUAAUUUGAAAAGUUAUUUUCUCCUAAUCUCAAGGCCUGGUCUGGAAUUAAAUACCAAUUAAUCCUUUUGCCAUGAAGAAAAUUACUUUCCAGCAUACUACUGUAUAUUGUGAGAGUGAUGUAUAAGCCAUAACAAACCUCAGUCUAAUUGUCUACUUCCACUAUCUUGCAGACCUGUGGUAAGCAAAGUCGUUUCCGUCGGCAAAGGAUUCGGAGGACUUGGAGGAUUUGGAGGACUUGGAGGAUUUGGAGGACUUGGAGGAUAUGGAGGACGUUACGGUGGUUAUGGAUGGUAACUUUUUGGAAUACCCAGCGGAUAAAAAAAAUAAUAAAUGAAAUAAUCAGUAA
Long non-coding RNA from Macrobrachium nipponense, 608 nucleotides. RefSeq lists it as uncharacterized. The transcript is spliced from 2 exons. NCBI's taxonomy places the organism in Eukaryota, Metazoa, Arthropoda, Malacostraca, Decapoda, Palaemonidae. The record is from RefSeq and is a predicted model, not a curated record.